Molecule: long non-coding RNA, 467 nt
Organism: Sorex araneus (European shrew)
Lineage: Eukaryota; Metazoa; Chordata; Mammalia; Eulipotyphla; Soricidae
Exons: 3
Source: RefSeq, a predicted model, not a curated record
GAGCUUUACAUACCCCGUGGUGUUCAGGUCUUACUGCUGGCUCUGCACUCAAGAAUCACUUUUGGUGUUCUGAGGGGACUGUAUAUGCUGCUGGGGAUCAAACCCUUUUUGGCUGGUGCAAGUCCAUACAGGAACUCUUACUCUGGACACAACAGGGGGAUGUGAGCCAUGGUAUGGUGACAUUGCCUGCUACUUACUACUAUUGGGAGUAAAACACUGGUAGACUUUGAAGGUCACACCUGGCGAUGCACAGGGGUUACUCCUGGCUGCACUCAGGAAUUACUCCUGGCGGUGCUCAGGGGACCAUAUGGAAUGCUGGGAUUUGAACCUGGGUUGGCCGUGUGCAAGGCAAAGGCCCUGUCCGCUAUGCUAUCACUCCAGCCCCCCUAAUGUACACUUUUAAAAUAAUUCAUUUUGAGUAAAAAUAAUUCCUUGAGGGCUAGAAAUGUAUUUCAUUUGUAAAGGAC